CGAUUUCCAUUUCCAAUUAAGGACCUACCAAAGGUAGUCCAGCUUGUGCCGCCUAAGUGCCUGUGGUAGCCCAACAUCCCUACUCUUGGAAUGUGUCUGUCCCACUCGACCCCGUAGGCUUCUCAAUACCGCACGAGCGAACAUAAGUCGCAUAGGCUAACUCCGGAGUGCCGGCUUGUAGGGAGCGACCCUCACAAGCAUGUGCGAAUGAGCACAAAUGGCAAGCAAGCAAAGUCCAAGUCUCAAGUAUCCAAUCCUCAUGUCUCUAACAUGGUAUAGUCACUAGCAUCCCGAAGAUCUAGUUCAAGUCACAAUGUGAAGUUUCAACAUUUGCUACGCCUAGUGCCCCUUAAUGACACUUAGGCAAUUUGGUGUCCAACAUGUAUCCCAAGUCCCUCGAUGGCCCUAUCCACUAGGUUCACACAUGUCCCGAGCUCAAUGCCGCUUGAUGACAUUAGCUCUCUAAUUCACAUAGCUUCUAAAUGACAAUCUUGUCAAUUUUCAUGUCACAAGUAACUUAGGUUUAAAUGCAUGAAUCCGAACUCAUUUAUACUAUAGAAGCAUGAUACCACGUCUCAUGUAGAAUGCUAAAUGCAACUAUGGCCCAAUAAGCUACUCUCUACUACAUAGAGGUCCAAAAUUUCAUCAUAUAUAACAUAGGCCUUUUAAGCAUUCUAAAAUUCACAAUAAAUACAUAUAACAAGAAUAUGCAUGCUUUUUCAUUUAACAACACUUAAUUAAGCACAAAUGAGAAUUUCUCAUUGUGUGGCUAGGUCAAACCCACCGAACCGUCGCGUAGGGUCUCGAUUCGCCGAACGAAGUUGUCCACGAGCCUCAAGAUACCCUAAAAGUGGUCAGUGAAGAGAUACGGGAGCAUCACGACCAACCGUAAGAUCAAACAUUAACCUAGGAGCAAAAAGGGCCAAAAUUUACCUCAAGAGUAGAAAUCUCUCCCAAAGCUCCAAAAGAGAGCUAGAACCCUUCCAAUCCAAGCCCUAGGAAGGUUCUAAACCAAUCAAUUUGGGUCCAAAAGCCCUAGAUCAAAAAUGCCCAAAAUAAGCCCUAAAUCUCAUUUCUAGGGUUUCAUCUCCCAAAAAUCACAAAAACAAGAAUCUAGAGGAGGGAAACAUGAUACUAACCCUUUGGAAGCUUCAAUCCAAGCCCAAAAUGCCCUAGGGUUGAAGUUUGGUCCACCACUAAGCUCUACAAGCAAGCUCCAAGCCUUGCAAAGGUGGGAAAGAGAGAAAGGGGUUGAGCUCCAAGCUCCCUCAAGCUAGCUCCUCUUCUUCUUCUCCUCCUUCUUCUUCUUCUUCUCUCUCUAGAAAAUGUAGGGAGAGGGUGAGAAUGAGAGAAUGAGAGAGGGAAGAGGGGGAAAUGGCUAAUAAGCCCAUCUAAUGUAACAAAAUCCAGUGAGGCCCCUCAAAAAUCCAAAAUUACAUCAGCCCGAACUGGGCAGUUUUCGCCCAGAGGGACCGGUCUCUCCCCAGCUGGGACCGGUCUCUCGCUGCGAACCCGAAAAACCAGCGUUCGGGAACCGGUCUCUCCCUGCGCGGGACCGGUCUCUCACUGCGAAGACGCGUUCGGGAACCGGUCUCGCCUGCCAGGGACCGGUUGCCUCAGGCCGCCUCAACACUGCUCACUGAGGGGACCGGUCUCUCCUUCCAGGGACCGGUCCCCGAGAGUAAAAACUCUCAGGACUUGUCCAAAGUUCCAGAUUUCGAACUUUUCGGGUCGGGGAACAUUUUACAACCCUCCACCAAGUGUGGAAAAGCUCGAAAUGCAUUCAAACACUCGAACCUCG
This 1801-nucleotide long non-coding RNA is filed under the name Ananas comosus (pineapple). RNAcentral describes it as "long non-coding RNA (ACOM_LNC003664)". The record is from RNAcentral. Lineage: Eukaryota; Viridiplantae; Streptophyta; Magnoliopsida; Poales; Bromeliaceae.